GCCGGCCGUGGAUCAAGCAGUGUGGGAGGCCCCAUUCACAACUAAAUGUCGACAGGAUUAACAAAAACACCUACGUUUGCUCCAAGGUAAGAACACGCUAAUGUUAGCUAGCUAGCUAACUCAGCACAGCAUUGCUUGGAAAUAAUGACGGUUCUUUGUUCAUAAUGCAUAUAUUUGAACGUAAAAUAAGAUGAUUAAAGGCAAGACGGUGGCUGACUGACAUACUUUAAAAUAUAUUUCAGCAUUUUGUUAAUCGACGGCCUACCCCGGAGUACCCCAAUCCGAUCGCGGCUCUCCCGGGGUUACUUCUAAGGAGGGAACAUCAGGGGGCUUGCCGGAGAUCUCCAAGGAAAAGGAAGCCAGCACCUCAAACUCCACUGAGGACACAUUUCACAGUACAUCACAACAGAGUGACUCUACCUAUGGUAAGUUUAAACCGCUAUUUGUAUCUGUUUUUAGUUACUGAUUGCAACUGGGAAGGAAGUAAUCAAAGAAAAACAAAUCUAAUUUGUCUUUCAU
RNAcentral lists this long non-coding RNA (519 nucleotides) under Sinocyclocheilus anshuiensis. RNAcentral describes it as "lncRNA (ENSSANG00000047045.1)". The record is from RNAcentral. Lineage: Eukaryota; Metazoa; Chordata; Actinopteri; Cypriniformes; Cyprinidae.